AUUGAACGCUGGCGGCAUGCUUUACACAUGCAAGUCGAACGGUAACAGGCCGCAAGGUGCUGACGAGUGGCGAACGGGUGAGUAAUGCAUCGGAACGUGCCCAGUCGUGGGGGAUAACUACUCGAAAGAGUAGCUAAUACCGCAUACGAUCUAUGGAUGAAAGCGGGGGACCGUAAGGCCUCGCGCGAUUUGAGCGGCCGAUGUCAGAUUAGGUAGUUGGUGGGGUAAAGGCUCACCAAGCCAACGAUCUGUAGCUGGUCUGAGAGGACGACCAGCCACACUGGGACUGAGACACGGCCCAGACUCCUACGGGAGGCAGCAGUGGGGAAUUUUGGACAAUGGGCGCAAGCCUGAUCCAGCAAUGCCGCGUGCAGGAAGAAGGCCUUCGGGUUGUAAACUGCUUUUGUACGGAACGAAACGGCUCUGGUUAAUACCCGGGGCUAAUGACGGUACCGUAAGAAUAGGCACCGGCUAACUACGUG
This 482-nucleotide ribosomal RNA is filed under the name uncultured bacterium. RNAcentral describes it as "partial 16S ribosomal RNA". It matches the Rfam family "Bacterial small subunit ribosomal RNA", at positions 30 to 507 of the family's 1533-position model. The record is from RNAcentral.